RNAcentral lists this ribosomal RNA (524 nucleotides) under Semisulcospira libertina. RNAcentral's name for it is "partial 16S ribosomal RNA". It matches the Rfam family "Bacterial large subunit ribosomal RNA", at positions 1809 to 2608 of the family's 2925-position model. The record is from RNAcentral. Lineage: Eukaryota; Metazoa; Mollusca; Gastropoda; Semisulcospiridae.
AAAAACAUGGCUCUUUGUCUAUAUAAAUAUAAAGAGUCUAGCCUGCCCGGUGAAAAUUUUUAACGGCCGCGGUACUCUGACCGUGCAAAGGUAGCAUAAUCAUUUGCCUUAUAAUUGAAGGCUAGUAUGAAUGGUUUGACGAGAACAACACUGUCUCCUUUUUAUUUUCAAGAAUUUAACUUUUAGGUGAAGAGGCCUAAAUUUCAUUGAAGGACAAGAAGACCCUGUCGAGCUUAAAAGACAUCAUAGAAUCUUAUAUAUCUUUAAAUGAAUUUUCUAUUAAGCUUUUUAGUUGGGGCGACUGAGGAACAAAAAAAGCUUCUUAAAAAUAACAGACAGUCAUGUUUAGAUCCAGCAAAAACUGAUCAAAGAAAUUAGUUACCGCAGGGAUAACAGCAUAAUCUCUCUUGAGAGACCUAAUCGAAAGAGGGGGUUGUGACCUCGAUGUUGGACUAGAAUAUCCUAAAGAUGCAGAAGUCUUUGAGGGCUGGUCUGUUCGACCAUUAAAAUUCUACGUGAUCUGA